RNAcentral lists this unclassified non-coding RNA (2281 nucleotides) under Octopus sinensis (East Asian common octopus). Its description in RNAcentral is "n-acetylglutamate synthase, mitochondrial, transcript variant X4". The record is from RNAcentral. Lineage: Eukaryota; Metazoa; Mollusca; Cephalopoda; Octopoda; Octopodidae.
CGACAUAUACAUCUUUAUAUCUAUUUGUCUGUCUGUCUUUCACACGCUUUCUACUCACACAGACGUGCGCAGAUAUCUAUUUAUUUCUCCCUGACUACCGACAUAUAUAGACACACUACACACACUCAGACUCACACUCACACACAUAUAUACUCACAUAUACACUUACUUGCUGUAUAUACACCUAUCUUACUAUGUACUGGGAUUAUGAUGUUUAAAACGGCGUCGAAGAAGCAUUUCAACAACUUCGUUUCGACGGGGUCAGCUGACUUGAAAGUAUUUCCAAGGAGUUAAAAAAGACAAUUUGCCUCUAACCUGUGGUGUGCCAUAAGGUUCUACCUCCCACAUUAAAGUGUUCUUUCCGUAAGCAUGCAAGCAGUGGUACCGAAAUGUAACGGCCACACCGUUUUCACCCAGUGUGUGCGCUGUGCUCACACUUUGACCAAAAAUGUCCAAGUUGUAUCAUCCAAAGAACUGCAACAGCUGAUGCAAGCAGUUCAAAAUCUCUAUUCCCAUAACUAUUGCACGUCCUGCUGCAAAAUGCUGUCGCCGAAAUUGAACCUGCAUCGCAACACACGACUGUCUGAAUCUCAUCAGUUACCUUUGCUUCUGCCCAUUGCCAAUUUCUUCAAUUUUCGUUGUAGCAGUACUACGAAGCCGUACUGGAAAGAUGUUGUCCGGUCGGUGCAAGCGGCUACGGUGAAAAUGAAAAAGAUGCAGGAGCCUGGCUAUUAUCCGGUUACCAACAGAGAAAUGAACACAGACCUUAGGCGGUUCCUUAGUGAGGUUGGAACAGACCCAAAGGAAGCCCGUUAUUGGUUAAAACAGUUUGUUAUUGGAGAGAGCAUCAGACCAUUUGCCGUUGUUCAAGUUGAUCCAGAAGUCUUCUGUGAAAAAGCACAACUCGAAGCCUUUGCCUCGUGUAUCUCCUUCCUGCAUCGGAACAGUAUGCGUCCGGUUGUCAUUCUGGGAACUGACUUCAAUGAGAAUGAAACCAUGAAAACAGAAGACUUUAAGAUUUCUCGAGCUAAGAUGCUUGGUGACUGUAUAAUCCUGACCAGCAUGUUGGAAUUGUUUGGCACCAAUACUCGACCAUUUUUCAGCGGCAGCAACAUUGUAGAAGCAGUACAAAGCAGUAGUAAUAGCGUUUUCGGCAAAGUGAGUGCUAUAAACAGCGACCCAAUCAAAUGGUGUUUGCAUUCCAAACACGUCCCGAUCAUUCCCGCUGUUGGUGAGACGCCGUCCGGUCAGAUUUUGGCUGUCGAUCUCUGGAACGUCACUGAAGAAAUUUCCAAAGCACUUCAACCCCUCAAAGUAAUGAAAAUCAACCUGAAAGGCGGCUUUCUUGAUGAAGAAGGCCAUGUCAUUCCUAACAUUAACUUACCUGUCGAUUUGGAAACAGUAGCAGAGAAACCCUGGUACACACCUGAAAUCAAAAGUCGGAUAUCAAGGAUUUCAGACUUACUCUAUCAGCUUCCAAGCCACAGCUCUGUUGUGAUAACAUCAGUGGACAAAAUGCUACAAGAACUGUUCACGCAUCGAGGUUCUGGAACAUUCUUUAAGAUUACCGAACCAAUUCACCGAUACCAUCACCUCGAGCAAGUCGAUCAAGCCAGACUGCACAAUCUUCUCUUAAAAGCUUUUGGUCGCAACUUGAAAGACGGUUAUUUUGAAAUGAUUCAAAACCAACUUCACACUUUGUAUUUGUCCGAAGAUUACAGUGCCGCAGCCAUCAUCCUCCACGAAAAUAGCACUGAUGUCCCAUAUCUUGAUAAAUUCGCAGUAUCACAGAAGGCACAGGGAGAAGGCACAGGCGAGAUGUUGUGGGCGUGUGUACGACAAGAUUUCAAACAAGUGUUUUGGCGAUCCAGGGGAGAUAACCCAAUCAAUCCAUGGUAUUUUAAGAAAUCCGAAGGGAGUUGGAGCAAUGGAAAAUGGACUGUUUUUUGUUGCAUGGAUGCCCUACCACUAACCACUCGACCGUGAAGUAGGAGUGGAACAGGCAAACAAACUGGAGCAAGCAGAAUAAUUAUAAUGAUAAUAACAAUAACGUGCCUUGCUCAAGGGGCACAACACACACAAACCCGCUGUAGUCAGGUUUUGAACCCAUGACCUUACAGUCGGCAUCAUCAGUCCAGCACCUUAACUGGUCACGGUACGGAAUCCAGUACCACAACACGUCAUCACUGCUUAUAGAUGUAGCUUUGGAAAAAGAAAGUUCUUUCGCAUCAUAGGAGCAAGAUAACGGAAACGACAACAACACCAACAAAAACAACAAAGG